This 74-nucleotide transfer RNA is filed under the name Ostreobium quekettii. RNAcentral's name for it is "tRNA-Gln". It matches the Rfam family "tRNA". From Rfam's summary of the family: Transfer RNA (tRNA) molecules are approximately 80 nucleotides in length. The record is from RNAcentral. Lineage: Eukaryota; Viridiplantae; Chlorophyta; Ulvophyceae; Bryopsidales; Ostreobiaceae.
UUAGGGUGUAGCCAAGUGGUAAGGCCACGGGUUUUGGUCUCGUUAUUCGAAGGUUCGAAUCCUUCUGCCCUAGA